ACUUCGGUGACGCCAUCAUUGUCAACGGGAAAGCCUGGCCUUACCUCCACGUCCACCGCCGCCGCUACCGCUUCCGCAUUAUCAAUGCCAGCAAUGCCAGGUUCUUCCGCCUCUUCUUCACCAACGGGCUCCGCUUUACCCACAUUGGUUCCGACUCCACCUACUUAGCUCACCCGGUGCCCAACCGGAAGUUCCUCCUUGCACCGUCGGAGAUCGCCGAUGUCGUGGUCGACUUUGCUGAAUCAAAAACUGGAUCAGCAGUUCUGGCUAAUGAUUCCCCGUAUCCAUAUCCAACCGGGGAUCCGGUAGACGACACAAAUGGCAUUGUAAUGAAAUUCAUUGUUUCAACAGAGCUGGAAAAAGAUGAGUCCA
This 372-nucleotide unclassified non-coding RNA is filed under the name Hevea brasiliensis (rubber tree). Lineage: Eukaryota; Viridiplantae; Streptophyta; Magnoliopsida; Malpighiales; Euphorbiaceae. The record is from RNAcentral.